Molecule: long non-coding RNA, 2189 nt
Filed under: Homo sapiens (human)
Lineage: Eukaryota; Metazoa; Chordata; Mammalia; Primates; Hominidae
Description: non-protein coding ROR1-AS1:1
Source: RNAcentral
CUCUGUGCCUGCUGCCAUCCACGUAAGAUGUGACUUGCUCCUCCUUGCCUUCCGUCAUGAUUGUGAGGCGCUCCCAGCCAUGUGGAACUGACGAAACACUGGAACUCUCCAGAAUAAAUUGGUACCUGGGUCUCUUCUGAAGUGAGCUGCUCUUAGGAGCUUCAAAUGAGGGUCUUUGAAGCCACAUGAAAAUUGAUGAGUGGUUGUAACAUCCAAGCUACCAAAUCAGACACACUUGUAAUUGUUCCCAAUAGUUUCUUAGCAGGCAUUUUGGAGGAAAAGAUUUGGAUCAGAAAUUCAGAAAUUACCUGGGCUCACAAAUAUAUGCCCCUCCAGCACCAUCCUGCAUUCUGCUUCCAAGAUACAUGAGCUUUCUGAAGAGCUGGUGAGAAUGCUGAAACUUCCUGGCCUUGGUUUCCCAUCUGGUAAAAUGAGGAAGACCAAAGCUUAACUCUCACAAGGAAUAUGCAGAUGAGGAAACCGAAGCUCUUGGGGUAACACGACUUGUGAAACUGCAUGCUACUCCUCAGUGGCAGGGUGGGGACUCUGGACAGAGGAACUGGCAAGGUCUUCUAGACCUUUGACGUGCAUAAACUGGCAGGUUUACAGAAUAACGAGGAAAACAAAGUGAAACAAAAGACUGUACCCGUGUGCUAAGAAUUUAUUACCCGCACAUCAAAAAACUUAUCCAUCACGAUCAAGCUGGCUUCAUCCCUGGGAUGCAAAGCUGGCUCAGCAUAUGCAAAUCAAUAAACAUAAUCCGUCACAUAAACAGAACCAAAGACAAAAACCACAUGGUUAUCUCAGUAGAUGCAGAAAAGGCCUUUGAUAAAAUUCAACAUCCCUUCAUGUUAAAAACUCAAUAAACUAGAUAUUGAUGGAACAUAUCUCAAAAUAAAAGAGCUGUUUAUGACAAACCCACAGCCAAUAUCAUAUUGAAUGGGCAAAAGCUGGAAGCAUUCCCUUUGAAUACUAGUACAAGGUAAGGAUGCCCUCUUCUCACCACUCUAUUCAACAUAGUAUUGAAGUUUUGGCCAGGGCAAUCGGGCAAGAGAAAGACAAAAAGCAUAUUCUAAUAGGAAGAGAGAGAGUCAAAUUGUCUCUAUUUGCAGACAACAUGAUUGUAUAUUUAGAAAACCCCAUCAUCUCACCCCAAAAACUCCUUAAGCUGGUGAGCAACUUCAGCAAAGUCUCAGGAUACAAAAUCAAUGUGCUAAAAUCACAAGCAUUCCUUUACACCAACAAUAGACAAGCAGGGAGCCAAAUCAUGAAUGAAGUCCCAUUCACAAUUGCUACAAAGAGAAUAAAAUACCUAGGAAUACAGCUAACAAGGGAUGUGAAGGACCUUUUCAAGGAGAACUACAAACUACUGCUCAAGGAAAUAAGAGAGGACACAAACAAAUGGAAAAACAUUCCAUCCUCAUGGAUAGGAAGAAUCAAUAUCAUGAAAAUGGCCAUACUGUCCAACGUAAUUUAUAGAUUCAAUGCUAUCCUCAUCAAGCUACCAUUGACGUUCUUCACAGAAUUAGAAAAAAAACUACUUUAAAUUUCAUAUGGAAUCAAAGAAGACCCUGUAUAGCUAAGACAAGCCUAAGCAAAAAGAACAAAGCUGGAGGCAUCAAGCUACCUGACUUCAAACUAUACUACAGGCUACAGUAACCAAAACAGCAUGGUACUGGUACCAAAACAAACAUAUAGACCAAUGGAACAGAACAGAGACCUCAGAAAUAACACCACACAUCUAAAACCAUCUGAUCUUUGACAAACCUGACAAAAACAAGCGAUCGGGAAAUGAUCUCCUAUUCAUUAAAUGUUUCUGGGAAAACUGUCUAGCCACGUGCAGAAAACUGAAACUGGAUCACCCUUCCUUAUACCUUAUACAAAAAUUAACUUAGGAUGGAUUAAAGACUUAAAUGUAAAGCCCCAAACCAUAAAAACCCUAGAAGAAAACCUAGGCAAUACCAUUCAGGACAUAGGCAUGGGCAAAGACUUCAUAAUGAAAACGCCAAAAGCAAUUGCAGCAAAAGCCAUAAUUGACAAAUGGGAUGUAAUUAAACUAAAGAGCUUCUGCACAGCAAAAGAAGCUAUCAUCAGAGUGAACAGGCAACCUACAGAAUGGGAGAAAAAUUUUGCGAUCUAUCCAUCCAACAAAGGUCUAAUAUCCAGCAUCUAUAAGGAACUUAAACAAA